This 468-nucleotide ribosomal RNA is filed under the name uncultured bacterium. Its description in RNAcentral is "partial 16S ribosomal RNA". It matches the Rfam family "Bacterial small subunit ribosomal RNA", at positions 28 to 507 of the family's 1533-position model. The record is from RNAcentral.
GACGAACGCUGGCGGCGUGCUUAACACAUGCAAGUCGAACGGAAAGGCCCUGCUUUUGUGGGGUGCUCGAGUGGCGAACGGGUGAGCAACACGUGAGUAACCUGCCCUUGACUUUGGGAUAACUUCAGGAAACUGGGGCUAAUACCGGAUAGGAGCUCCUGCUGCAUGGUGGGGGUUGGAAAGUUUCGGUGGUUGGGGUUGGACUCGCGUCCUAUCAGCUUGUUGGUGGGGUAGUGGCUUACCAAGGCAUUGACGGGUAGCCGGCCUGAGAGGGUGAGCGGCCACGUUAGGACUGAGAUACGGCCCAGACUCCUACGGGAGGCAACGGUGGGGAAUCUUGCACAGUGGGCGGGAGCCUGAUGCAACAACGCCGCGUGCGGGGAGACGGCCUUCGGGUAGUAAACCGCUUUCGCCUGUGACGAAGCGAGAGUGACGGUAAUGGGUAAAGAAGCACCGGCUAACUACGUG